Molecule: ribosomal RNA, 403 nt
Filed under: uncultured bacterium
Lineage: Bacteria
Description: partial 16S ribosomal RNA
Rfam family: Bacterial small subunit ribosomal RNA
Source: RNAcentral
GACGAACGCUGGCGGCGUGCCUAAUACAUGCAAGUCGAACGCAGUGGGGACGGGUGAGUAACACGUGGGUAACCGCCCAUCAGAGGGGAUAACACUUGGAAACAGGUGCUAAACCGAUACUGAUGGAUGGACCCGCGGUGCAUUAGCUAGUUGGUGAGGUAACGGCUCACCAAGGCGACGAUGCAUGGCCGACCUGAGAGGGGGAUCGGCCACACUGGGACUGAGACACGGUCCAGACUCCUACGGGAGGCAGCAGGAGGGAAUCUUGGGCAAGGGACGAAAGUCUGACCGAGCAACGACGCGUGAGUGAAGAAGGUUUUCGGAUCGUAAAACUCUGUUGUUAGAGAAGCGGUAUCUAAACAGAAAGUCACGGCUAACUACGUGCCAGCAGCCGCGGUAAUUC